CAUGCAAGUCGAGCGGUAACAGACAUAAGGAUUCAGCUUGCUGAAUCUGGUGCUGACGAGCGGCGAACGGGUGAGUAACGCGUAGGAAUCUACCCAGUAGCGGGGGAUAGCCCGGGGAAACCCGGAUUAAUACCGCAUACGCCCUAUGGGGGAAAGGGGGCAGCUUGCUGCUCUCACUAUUGGAUGAGCCUGCGUAAGAUUAGCUAGUUGGUAGGGUAAAAGCCUACCAAGGCGACGAUCUUUAGCUGGUCUGAGAGGACGAUCAGCCACAUUGGGACUGAGACACGGCCCAGACAUCUACGGAUGGCAGCAGUUAAGAAUAUUGGACAAUGGGGGCAACCCUGAUCCAGGUAUACCGCGUGUGUGAAGAAGGCCCUAGGGUUGUAAAGCACUUUAAUCAGAGAAGAAGCAUUUUAAGUUAAUACCUUAAUAUGUUGACGUUAACUGAAGAAUAAGGACCGGCUAACUCCGUGCCAGCAGCCGCGGUAAUACGGAGGGUCCAAGCGUUAAUCGGAAUUACUGGGCGUAAAGCGCGCGUAGGCGGUUUAAUAAGUUGAAUGUGAAAGCCCUGGGCUCAACCUAGGAACUGCAUUCAAAACUAUUAAGCUAGAGUACGAGAGAGGAGAGUAGAAUUUCUGGUGUAGCGGUGAAAUGCGUAGAUAUCAGAAGGAAUACCAAUGGCGAAGGCAGCUCUCUGGCUCGUCACUGACGCUAAGGUGCGAAAGCGUGGGUAGCAAACAGGAUUAGAUACCCUGGUAGUCCACGCCGUAAACGAUGAGAACUAGCCGUUGGACAGAUUUAACUGUUCAGUGGCACAGCUAACGCAUUAAGUUCUCCGCCU
This 841-nucleotide ribosomal RNA is filed under the name uncultured Gammaproteobacteria bacterium. Its description in RNAcentral is "bacterial SSU rRNA". It matches the Rfam family "Bacterial small subunit ribosomal RNA", at positions 54 to 874 of the family's 1533-position model. The record is from RNAcentral. Lineage: Bacteria; Pseudomonadati; Pseudomonadota; Gammaproteobacteria.